CGAGGCCUUCGGGUCUAGUGGCGCACGGGUGCGUAACGCGUGGGAACCUGCCUUUAGGUUCGGAAUAACAGAGAGAAAUUACUGCUAAUACCGCAUAGCCUUGGAAACAAGUAAAGAUUUAUUGCCAAAGGAUGAGCCCGCGUCAGAUUAGGUAGUUGGUAGGGUAAUGGCCUACCAAGCCGAUGAUCUGUAGCUGAUUUGAGAGGAUGAUCAGCCACACUGGGAUUGAGAUACGGCCCAGACUCCUACGGGAGGCAGCAGUAAGGAAUAUUGGACAAUGGGGGAAACCCUGAUCCAGCAAUGCCGCGUGAAUGAAGAAGGCCUUCGGGUUGUAAAGUUCUUUCGCUUACGAUGAUAAUGACAGUAGUAAGAUAAGAAGGUCCGGCUAACUCUGUGCCAGCAGCCGCGGUGAGACAGAGGGACCUAGCGUUGUUCGGAAUAACUGGGCGUAAAGGGUGCGUAGGUUGUUACUUAAGUAAAGUGUUAAAUCCUUGGGCUCAACCCAAGAACCGCAUUUUAAACUGGGUGACUUGAGUGUGGGAAAGGAAAGUGGAAUUCCUAGUGUAGAGGUGGAAUUCGUAGAUAUUAGGAGGAACACCAGAGGCGAAGGCGGCUUUCUAGAACACAACUGACACUGAGGCACGAAAGCGUGGGGAGCAAACAGGAUUAGAUACCCUGGUAGUCCACGCCCUAAACGAUGAGUGCUAGACGUUGGAAUUUUAUUUCCAGUGUCGCAGCUAACGCGUUAAGCACUCC
This 756-nucleotide ribosomal RNA is filed under the name uncultured Alphaproteobacteria bacterium. RNAcentral describes it as "bacterial SSU rRNA". It matches the Rfam family "Bacterial small subunit ribosomal RNA", at positions 67 to 870 of the family's 1533-position model. The record is from RNAcentral. Lineage: Bacteria; Pseudomonadati; Pseudomonadota; Alphaproteobacteria.